CGGGCGAGGAGAUGGUUGACAGAAUGUGCCGCUCAAGGAGUUGUGGAACAACAAUUUCCCAUCUACAAAUCUAUACCAGGGACAAGCAAUGCUAACUCGAGGAAGAGGAAACUUGGUUGAAUGAGGCCUAUAACACAGGCAGAUACUGUCAACUAAGUUCUAGGUAUGUAAUGAUCAUGUUGGUGAUCAACUUGAUACUGUUAUUUUUGUUGCUCCUGCUAUCUAGCUACUUUGGGUGUCCUGUAAACAAAAGGGGGUGAGCAGAACUGUUCCAAGGUUACUGUUGGGGCGCCAUCUGGUGGUAGAGGGUAUUCCUCUACAGAUUAUGAAGCCC
This 334-nucleotide small RNA is filed under the name Histoplasma capsulatum var. duboisii H88. RNAcentral describes it as "Histoplasma capsulatum H88 hypothetical RNA". The record is from RNAcentral. Lineage: Eukaryota; Fungi; Ascomycota; Eurotiomycetes; Onygenales; Ajellomycetaceae.